ACUAGUCUGAACAGGACAAUAAAUGGAUAAAUAGGGGCAACACAAAGCCACUGACUUUGAUUCAGCUCACUAUCCUGCCUUUGCUACUUCUUCUUACUAAUCUUUCACUAAAAAUGAAAAAGGAGAAUUACCUGUGCAAUCAGAUACUCUUUCUGUCCUUCUCUAGUGGCCUUCUUCUUUUUAUUCAGUGUGUAAGGCCUCCAGAUGCCCAUGGGUAGGAACAGUAUGACCAAGAAUUUUGUUGUAUAUGAGCUCUGGUAAGGGAAGAAACUGGGGGAAUUAAACCAGAUAGGCAGCAAGUCUGUACAGGCACUUGAGGCAUGGAGUUUCAAACCUCUCUCCUGCCUCAGGUAACAAGGCUGAAAAUAAGCAGAGAUUUAUCAGAAAUCCUGCCUGAAUCUGUUAUGCUUCUCCAGGAGAGUAUGGAGUAGUGGAGCAGUCUUCUCACCACUUAGCUGUCCUUCUUUACCUGGAAUAGAAUGUAGUUUAAAAAGUUGAUGGAUAAAGUCAACAUUCUUUUGUAUGACUUCUGCUUACUCUAAAAUCUAAGUAUCAAAGCAACACACUAAAAUCAACAGUCAUUAAAAAUCAAAAUGAUCUAUUCAAACAUAUUCUAGCCAAAACACUUAUCAUGAAAAGAAUAAUUAACACGUCAGCAUAAGCAAAUGAAGUUGUUUGUCCCUGAGAGUUGAUAAUUGUAAUUGAAUUUGACUUCUAUAACAUAUUCUGUGCAUCCAUCAUUACUCAGGCAUUAUGUCCCCUCAAAUCAAUCAAAAAUUAUCCUCCCAAUGAAAUUCAUUUUUUCCCAUUGGAUGAACAGCAGAGAUUUCAAACCUGGCCACUGUCCACAGCUAUGAUAGCAGAGCUAGUAAAUACUGUUAAGCAUAUUUCUCUUCGAUUCUACUGUUUUCAUAAGUAUUGUCUGAGUCCUUGUCUUACUCCUCUCUCCACCUCUCUGCCUACUUGUAGCAUCUUUUUAUCUUUUGCCAGCAAUUUACUGCAACUGACAGACUUGCUUGAGGAAAACAUUUUACAUUCACACUCAGGGGAAAACAAACAAACAAAACAAAACAAUAACAACAGCAACAGAAGGGGGUCCUUUAACAAAGGCCCCCUUGUAUCCUAAGGAUCCAUACUACCUACCUCUUUGCACCAUGAGGCAGCACUAAGCAACAGAACAGACAAUGUUUGGAGCAAAGCUGGACAGUUACCUGAGUAGAUGGUGUAUUGGCAAAGCUGCAGUUACUUCUGUAGAUUUCUAAAAAUGGCCUGUGGGUCACAGUCUGAUCACUGUAAAAGAAGGAUGACAAUGGGUAUGAAAACAAACAGAAGAUACUUUGCUAUGAAACCAUUCCUCAUCAUAAAGUUACCUGGAGUGAGGACUGUUUUCCAAGACACUCUGAAUGGCAGUAUACAACUGAAUGAAUGAAUCUUGGACAUCUUAAAGCCAAGAAAAAUAAAUAUAUAUAUAUAUAUAUAUACA
This 1483-nucleotide long non-coding RNA is filed under the name Anas platyrhynchos platyrhynchos (common mallard). Its description in RNAcentral is "lncRNA (ENSAPLG00000019067.1)". The record is from RNAcentral. Lineage: Eukaryota; Metazoa; Chordata; Aves; Anseriformes; Anatidae.